GGCUAGUCUGAAGGUAGGUAGUUAUCUCACUUGAUUGUUCAGUCAGUUACAGAUUGAACUCCUUGUUCUACUACUUUCCCCUUCUUGCUACUGUGCUUGACUAGUCUAAA
RNAcentral lists this Y RNA (110 nucleotides) under Propithecus coquereli (Coquerel's sifaka). RNAcentral's name for it is "Y RNA (ENSPCOG00000003965.1)". It matches the Rfam family "Y RNA". Rfam says of the family: Y RNAs are components of the Ro ribonucleoprotein particle (Ro RNP), in association with Ro60 and La proteins. The Y RNAs and Ro60 and La proteins are well conserved, but the function of the Ro RNP is not known. In humans the RNA component can be one of four small RNAs -- hY1, hY3, hY4 and hY5. The record is from Rfam by way of RNAcentral. Lineage: Eukaryota; Metazoa; Chordata; Mammalia; Primates; Indriidae.